Homo sapiens (human) is the source of this 1226-nucleotide long non-coding RNA. Ensembl annotates it as long intergenic non-protein coding RNA 2146. The record is from Ensembl. NCBI's taxonomy places the organism in Eukaryota, Metazoa, Chordata, Mammalia, Primates, Hominidae.
ACUCCUUCACUUAUCACCAUAAAUAGCCAGAGGACAAUUCUGUACUGGAAACCCAUUAUGAGAAUCUGCCUUCUAGGAAUCCACUUCUAAUACCACUUGUCUUUGUUUUGAUUUACCCAAAAUCAACCUUGAGAUGGGAAUUCAAGUAUCAGUGGUUUAUUGGAAGGUGAUAUGGAUGGUGACAUUGCAAUGAUCUUUCCUCUUGCUUACUUCAAUGAACUUGAAAAUAUGGUUGCAUUUUAAAAGGCCUAAUGGGAAGUCUGAGGAGCCUUGUCUGAAAAACCUAAAAGACCAUGGGGAGAAGUUUCCAUCUAUUGACAUUUGAGUCUCCCCUUGCACAGUCAGCACUGCAUAAAGUCAUCAAGUUUGGUAGGUCAGAAGUCCCAGUGUGCUCAGCUGGCCCUCUCCUUCAGGUUCAAGACUAAACCAAACUAUUGGCUGUGCUUCAUACCUUUCUGGAGGCCCUGAGGAGGAAUGUGCUUCCAAGCCUAUUCAAGUUUGUGUCCACUUGAAUUUAUUUGUGGUUCUAAGACUGAGGUGUCUGUUUUCUUGCUGGCUGUCAGUUAGCGUGGAGGUGGGGGUACCCCUAAGUCCUAGAGGUAUCUGUCUAGUGACAUGUGGUGGUGCUUCCACUGUUCUUUCUCUCAGCCUGUAUAACUGCUUGCAUUUUUUCCCAUUGUUGCUGCAACAAACAUCACAAAUGUAAUGGUUUAAAAAAUAUACAUAUUAUUUUACAGUUGUCUUGGUUAAGAGUCCAACAUGGAUAUUACUGGCCUAAAGUCAACAUGUUGGCCUGGCUGCCAUUUCCUCUAGCAGCUCCCAAAGAGCAUCCAUUUCCCUGUCUUUUCCAUCUUUUUGAACCCACCUGCAAUCCUUGGCUCAUGCUCUCCUUCCUCCAUCUUUGAAAGCCAACAGUGAGUGUCAGGAGGAGUCCUGCCCACAUCACAUUACUCCUACCUUCUCUCCUGCCUCCCUCUUUCACUUUUAAGGAUCCUGUGAUGGCACUGGUCCCACUGAGAUAAUCCAGGAUAAACCUAUUUUGAAGUCAGCUGAUUAGCAACCUAAUAUGAUCUGUAAUCUUAUUCCCCUAAAGUAACCUAACAUUCACAAAUUCUAGGAGAUUAGGAUUAUGGGCGAUUUGGGGAGACCAUUAUUCAGCCCACCACAGUCUCUAUUCAGUCCAUUCUUUUAUUAUUUGUAUGUAAUGAAUAAAUGACAACCUAGCA